GCCGGGUGUGGUGGCUCACGCCUGUAAUCCCAGCACUUUGGGAGGCCGAGGCUGGUGGAUCACCUGAGGUCAGGAGUUCAAGACCAGCCUGGCCAACAUGGUGAAACCCCGUCUCUA
This 117-nucleotide non-coding RNA is filed under the name Gorilla gorilla gorilla (western lowland gorilla). The record is from Rfam by way of RNAcentral. Lineage: Eukaryota; Metazoa; Chordata; Mammalia; Primates; Hominidae.